UGGGGGAUAUUGCACAAUGGGCGAAAGCCUGAUGCAGCGACGCCGCGUGGGGGAUGAAGGCUUUCGGGUUGUAAACCUCUUUCGCUAUCGAACAAGGCCCGCUUAGGGUGGGUUGAGGGUAGGUGGAGAAGAAGCGCCGGCUAACUACGUGCCAGCAGCCGCGGUAAUACGUAGGGCGCGAGCGUUGUCCGGAAUUAUUGGGCGUAAAGGGCUUGUAGGCGGCUUGUUGCGCCUGCUGUGAAAACGCGGGGCUUAACUUCGCGCGUGGAGUGGGUACGGGCAGGCGUGAGUGGGGUAGGGGUGACUGGAAUUCCAGGUGUAGCGGUGGAAUGCGCAGAUAUCUGGAGGAACACCGAUGGCGAAGGCAGGUCACUGGGCCAUUACUGACGCUGAGGAGCGAAAGCAUGGGUAGCGAACAGGA
This 421-nucleotide ribosomal RNA is filed under the name bacterium. RNAcentral's name for it is "partial 16S ribosomal RNA". It matches the Rfam family "Bacterial small subunit ribosomal RNA", at positions 355 to 777 of the family's 1533-position model. The record is from RNAcentral.